This 497-nucleotide ribosomal RNA is filed under the name uncultured bacterium. Its description in RNAcentral is "partial 16S ribosomal RNA". It matches the Rfam family "Bacterial small subunit ribosomal RNA", at positions 28 to 507 of the family's 1533-position model. The record is from RNAcentral.
GACGAACGCUGGCGGCGUGCCUAAUACAUGCAAGUUGAGCGCUGAAGGUUGGUACUUGUACCAACUGGAUGAGCAGCGAACGGGUGAGUAACGCGUGGGGAAUCUGCCUUUGAGCGGGGGACAACAUUUGGAAACGAAUGCUAAUACCGCAUAAAAACUUUAAACACAAGUUUUAAGUUUGAAAGAUGCAAUUGCAUCACUCAAAGAUGAUCCCGCGUUGUAUUAGCUAGUUGGUGAGGUAAAGGCUCACCAAGGCGAUGGUACAUAGCCGACCUGAGAGGGUGAUCGGCCACAUUGGGACUGAGACACGGCCCAAACUCCUACGGGAGGCAGCAGUAGGGAAUCUUCGGCAAUGGACGAAAGUCUGACCGAGCAACGCCGCGUGAGUGAAGAAGGUUGUCGGAUCGUAAAACUCUGUUGGUAGAGAAGAACGUUGGUGAGAGUGGAAAGCUCAUCAAGUGACGGUAACUACCCAGAAAGGGACGGCUAACUACGUG